RNAcentral lists this ribosomal RNA (1361 nucleotides) under Burkholderia cenocepacia. Its description in RNAcentral is "bacterial LSU rRNA". It matches the Rfam family "Bacterial large subunit ribosomal RNA", at positions 1581 to 2925 of the family's 2925-position model. The record is from RNAcentral. Lineage: Bacteria; Pseudomonadati; Pseudomonadota; Betaproteobacteria; Burkholderiales; Burkholderiaceae.
GGGAGCGAAGCAAUUGGAAGUGGUUCCAAGAAAAGCCUCUAAGCUUCAGUCUAACGAUGACCGUACCGCAAACCGACACAGGUGGGCGAGAUGAGUAUUCUAAGGCGCUUGAGAGAACUCGGGAGAAGGAACUCGGCAAAUUGGUACCGUAACUUCGGGAUAAGGUACGCCCUUGUAGCUUGACUGGCCUGCGCCAGGAGGGUGAAGGGGUUGCAAUAAACUGGUGGCUGCGACUGUUUAAUAAAAACACAGCACUCUGCAAACACGAAAGUGGACGUAUAGGGUGUGACGCCUGCCCGGUGCCGGAAGAUUAAAUGAUGGGGUGCAAGCUCUUGAUUGAAGUCCCGGUAAACGGCGGCCGUAACUAUAACGGUCCUAAGGUAGCGAAAUUCCUUGUCGGGUAAGUUCCGACCUGCACGAAUGGCGUAACGAUGGCCACACUGUCUCCUCCCGAGACUCAGCGAAGUUGAAGUGUUUGUGAUGAUGCAAUCUACCCGCGGCUAGACGGAAAGACCCCAUGAACCUUUACUGUAGCUUUGCAUUGGACUUUGAACCGAUCUGUGUAGGAUAGGUGGGAGGCUAUGAAACCGGAACGCUAGUUUCGGUGGAGCCGUCCUUGAAAUACCACCCUGGUUUGUUUGAGGUUCUAACCUUGGCCCGUGAUCCGGGUCGGGGACAGUGCAUGGUAGGCAGUUUGACUGGGGCGGUCUCCUCCCAAAGCGUAACGGAGGAGUACGAAGGUACGCUAGGUACGGUCGGAAAUCGUGCUGAUAGUGCAAUGGCAUAAGCGUGCUUAACUGCGAGACCGACAAGUCGAGCAGGUGCGAAAGCAGGUCAUAGUGAUCCGGUGGUUCUGUAUGGAAGGGCCAUCGCUCAACGGAUAAAAGGUACUCUGGGGAUAACAGGCUGAUACCGCCCAAGAGUUCAUAUCGACGGCGGUGUUUGGCACCUCGAUGUCGGCUCAUCUCAUCCUGGGGCUGUAGCCGGUCCCAAGGGUAUGGCUGUUCGCCAUUUAAAGAGGUACGUGAGCUGGGUUUAAAACGUCGUGAGACAGUUUGGUCCCUAUCUGCCGUGGGCGUUGGAUAUUUGAAGGGGGCUGCUCCUAGUACGAGAGGACCGGAGUGGACGAACCUCUGGUGUACCGGUUGUCACGCCAGUGGCAUCGCCGGGUAGCUAUGUUCGGAAGAGAUAACCGCUGAAAGCAUCUAAGCGGGAAACUCGCCUUAAGAUGAGAUAUCCCUGGGGACUAGAUCCCCUUGAAGGGUCGUUCGAGACCAGGACGUUGAUAGGUCAGGUGUGUAAGCGCAGUAAUGCGUUCAGCUAACUGAUACUAAUUGCCCGUAAGGCUUGAUCCUAUAACA